UGCGAGGGCAGGGCUUAGAGAGCCACUACUCGAAGCCAAGCCUUACGUCAGGCAGCAGAGAUACCAAGAUGAGGUUGAAGAAAACACACGGCUUUCUCCACUCAUGGACUCCAAUGAGGAUGGCAACAACAUGGGCUGAGACUUGACCUUGUGACUCCAGCCUAGGAUUAUAUAAGGAUGUGACUGACCUUAGAGGAUUUCACGGGAACUUAGCUGUACACGUGGAACCCAUUUAUUUGCUGACACUUCUCAUUUCCUUUCAGAACAAACCUACAUUCCCAGACCUAUAAUUUUCUUGAGAAAAUGGGUUUAUUAUAAGUCACUCAAUAAAACACCCUACCAUGGCUUCCCAGUACAAACCCUAGUUUCAAUUAGUCUUAUUUUCUUCCUGAACUGAUGAUUCCCAAAUCUAUCUAUCUGUUCAUUAGGAUCACUGGAGAACUAUUAAAAUGUCCAAAGUCCAGUCCACACCCCAGACCAAUUAAAUCAGUCACUGAGGCUAAGAUCAAUAUUUUUUUAAGCUCCCCAGUCAGAAUUGGAAUUUCAACUGCUGGUCAGUUUCUCCUAUGAACAUGGGUUGAUAUGGGCACGAUUGUGGGGCUAGCGUUGCCAUCUCUCCCUAUUAAACUUCUCCUACUAGAGCUACAAUACUUUUCGGCCCUUGGAUGGCUGUGCUUUUCGAAUUCUUGUACUUCCACUGUUCUACCUCUUUUAUUCAAGGCAGCCUUUCCUGCAUGCAUUUAUUCUUUCAUUCACUUACAAGAAUAUACUGAAUAUGGAUUCUAGGAACUAGGAAAUGAGUUGUUGACCUUGGGCUAGGGUGAGAACAUUUGAGUGGUUCUUCGUGGUGACCUGCCUCCCCUGCCCCCAUAAAAGCCUCUCUCCUUCCUGCCUUCCAGUCCACUGAUGCAUGGGCCCAGGCAGCACCAACCAUUUCCUUGCUUGUAGUCAGUUCCCCAUCUACCAAGUAAUGCCUGCCUUCCCCUCCUGUUGGAGGGUGUAUUAGUCUGUUUUCAUGCUGCUGAUGAAGACAUACCCCAGACUGGGUAAUUUAUAAGAAAAAGAGGUUUAAUGAACUCACAGUUCCACAUGACUAGGGAGGCCUCACAAUCAUGGCAGAAGGUGAGGAGGAGCAAAGUCAUGCCUUACAUGGUGGCAGGCAAGAGAGAAAGACAAGCGAAAGGGGAAAUCCCUUAUAAAACCAUCAGAUCUUGUCAGACUUAUUCACUACUAUGAGAGCAGUAUGGGGGAAACUGCCCUCAUGAUUCAAUUAUCUCCCACAAGGUCCCUCCCACAGCAUAUGGGAAUUAUGGGAGCUACAAUUCAAGAUGAGAUUUGGGUGGGACACAGCCAAACCAUAUCAGAGGGUCCAAAUUCAACUCUUCUAGAGUUAACUACCCAAAUUCCCAAAACCUCUUGACUGUUUGUUUCACAGAGGUUUUUUUUUUUUUGAGGUCAUAGUAAAAAAUAAUUUUAGAAACAUGCCCUGACAAAUGUGGGUUCCUGAAAUUGAGGCGGUGAAUCCUUCACCCCUCCCUAGUAGCCCUGAAUGAGUCCUCUCUUCUGAACUAGACUCCAAGCCUCCCUAACGGCAGCAGUGAUUUCCAGUCCUCAAAUGACACAGUCAAAACUCUCACUAGAAUGCUUGUUGAGUGACACUUAGCAGAUCAUGUGUUGACUGGAGAAAAGGAGGGAGGAAGAAAGGAGAAGAGAACAGGAGGGAGAGGAAAAGGGAGGAGAUACAGAGUAAGCCAGAGAGGAGAGAGACAGAGACACAGAAUGGAACCGAUUUUGAGAUCCUACCUGUCCUGCCCAUCGCCUUGUGGAGGACAGAGGAAUGGGGCAUCUAAGCUCACUCACACUGCCAAUUUGAACUGUUCUGCCCUAGCCUCCCUCCCUACCCACUUGAGAGCAUUGGAAAGCUGCCCCAUGAAGGCUUUACAAAGCAUCACCAUAGUAACUGUUUUCUCCACUAAAAGACGCCUAUGCAAUGAAGCUCUGCACUCUUGUCUGCCCCUCUCAGUAACUGGGAGAGGCUUCCACUCUCUCCAGCAAAGGCCUUACCGGCCACUGAGUGACUCUAUCUCAUAUUCUCAUGACUGUCAUUACCAGCGUUAGUAUUUUCUUUAUUCUUUUGCACUUCCCUGGCUCUGCUGGUCUAAAAUGGGCUUUCCAUGACUUUAAUUGGCUCUCAUCAGCACUGAGGUCAGUGAGGCAGCCACAGAGUUCAUUUGACUAAGGCACAAGCAGAGGCGGAAGUCUGAACAACUUGCUCAAGGUCUCCAGCUCCAGAGUCCUGCAGAUGAGGGCUCACAAUCCCUAAGUUUACUAUCCUUUCCUCAGCCCCAGUUUGUCCUUCCGCAAGGGGGAAAUCGCCUCUACAGUUAUCACACUAGGAGAAAUUAUACUUCCCUGAAUUGUAAGCUUGGGCAUCUGUGUGUCAAAGCAGAGAAGAAGUCAGGGAGGUAGCUUGUGUCUUUGAGGGGUGUGAGGGGCUGGGCUUGGUGAGCAGAUGGACAGAGCUGAGCUGCCGGGUUCCACGUCAACAAUGGCAAGUCCAUGGGGAAUUUCUGUAGAAUUAGAUAUAUUGCU
RNAcentral lists this long non-coding RNA (2592 nucleotides) under Homo sapiens (human). Its description in RNAcentral is "HSALNT0345592". The record is from RNAcentral. Lineage: Eukaryota; Metazoa; Chordata; Mammalia; Primates; Hominidae.